UACGAGGGGGGCAAGUGUUGUUCGGAAUCACUGGGCGUAAAGGGAGCGUAGGCGGAAACUUAAGUUGGGUGUUUAAAACCGGGGCCCAACCCCGGAGCGGCACUCAAAACUGGGUUUCUUGAAUGGGACAGAGGCUGGUGGAAUUCCGGGUGUAGUGGUGAAAUGCGUAGAGAUCCGGAGGAACACCAGUGGCGAAGGCGACACACUGGGCCGUACCUGACACUAAGACGCGACAGCAUGGGGAGCGAACGGG
This 253-nucleotide ribosomal RNA is filed under the name uncultured bacterium. RNAcentral describes it as "partial 16S ribosomal RNA". It matches the Rfam family "Bacterial small subunit ribosomal RNA", at positions 524 to 776 of the family's 1533-position model. The record is from RNAcentral.